UUUAUUUAUUGAGUCCUUUCAUAACAGCAGAGCUUUGAUGAGUUUGAGCUGAUGGAAGGAGGAUCAGGAAUAGAGUAGAGGACCUGCUGAUCUACUGGUUCUAGUAGAUUUUAUAAAUGCAUCACUGAGACAAGACAACAGCGCUGGACCAAUCAGGAGAGAGAAGACACAGAGGACUGAAGGGACACAGAAAAUCCUGAGAUGAAGUUUCCUGAUGCAACGGGGGGACACCUGAGGACACAGAAUAAAGAGACAGACAUCAUGUUGGAUGUCCUCAGCCGGUAAACCUCCACCUUCAACACCACCAGUCAGAUGGAGGAAGAUAAGAGAACCCUGUUGACAAAAAAA
Xiphophorus maculatus (southern platyfish) is the source of this 348-nucleotide long non-coding RNA. RefSeq lists it as uncharacterized. Lineage: Eukaryota; Metazoa; Chordata; Actinopteri; Cyprinodontiformes; Poeciliidae. The transcript has 3 exons. The record is from RefSeq and is a predicted model, not a curated record.